This 517-nucleotide long non-coding RNA is filed under the name Sitophilus oryzae (rice weevil). Its description in RNAcentral is "uncharacterized LOC115880398". Lineage: Eukaryota; Metazoa; Arthropoda; Insecta; Coleoptera; Curculionidae. The record is from RNAcentral.
CCCGCGUCCAAUUUUGAAGGCAGAAAAUGUCGGUAGGAGGCGAGCAUAACCAGGCCUAACUUAAACCUGUUAAAAGACAAUCCGGGUUCGCAGCGCGAUUUUAAAAAACUAAGAAGUCAGAAAUUCUAUCUAUAUGCUGCAUAUGAUCAGUCCCAAAAAAUUUCGGAUUGUUCCAGGCCCCGUCGAAUACCUGGAAAACGUGUUUAUUGUCAACUCUACAGGAUCGACCGAAGUCCAUGGAGUUGGGGGCAUUCGAUCUGCCCCAUAGCAGUGAGACGCCACUGUUUUUUUCGCCGUAUAAUUAUUAUGGUGGGACUGAAAAUGAACUUAAGCAAGAUGUGAUGGUGAUACAGUAUGGCUUGGAGAACUUCAAAAGUCGGUUCGCGUCGUGGUUCCAAAGCGGUAACUUUAGGUUCCCUACAUUUACAGAAUGUCGCAUUUAAGUACUCAUUUUUUAAUUUGCAAUUUUUACAUUUCAUUUUUACUUUUUUUCUUAUUCUAUACAAAGCUUUAAUAU